RNAcentral lists this ribosomal RNA (252 nucleotides) under uncultured bacterium. RNAcentral describes it as "partial 16S ribosomal RNA". It matches the Rfam family "Bacterial small subunit ribosomal RNA", at positions 524 to 776 of the family's 1533-position model. The record is from RNAcentral.
UACGUAGGGCGCGAGCGUUGUCCGGAAUUAUUGGGCGUAAAGAGCUCGUAGGCGGCCUGUUGCGUCCGCUGUGAAAUCCCAGGGCUCAACCCUGGGCGUGCAGUGGAUACGGGCAGGCUGGAGGCAGGCAGGGGAGAACGGAAUUCCCGGUGUAGCAGUGAAAUGCGUAGAGAUCGGGAGGAACACCAGUGGCGAAGGCGGCCUCUGGACCAAUACUGACGCUCAUGCACGAAAGCGUGGGGAGCAAACAGG